Molecule: ribosomal RNA, 198 nt
Filed under: uncultured bacterium
Lineage: Bacteria
Description: partial 16S ribosomal RNA
Rfam family: Bacterial small subunit ribosomal RNA
Source: RNAcentral
ACGCUCGACACCUACGGGAGUCAGCAGUGGGGAAUAUUGCACAAUGGGGGAAACCCUGAUGCAGCGACGCCGCGUGAGCGAAGAAGUAUUUCGGUAUGUAAAGCUCUAUCAGCAGGGAAGAAAAUGACGGUACCUGACUAAGAAGCCCCGGCUAACUACGUGCCAGCAGCCGCGGUAAUCUGAGCGGGCUGGCAAGGC